GGGAAGGAGAAAAGAGGGGAAAGAAAAGGGCAAGAGAAGAGGAGAGUAUACCUGUUUGAGGGUCAGCCUAUAAAAAUCGACAUCGUUGCUGUUUCGAGGUGGCGUUAGGCGGAAAUUGGGUCAUCUUAAAUCCUUUUGAUUUAAGCGACUUAAAAUUUUCUUUUGGUUCCAUGAACGUUCCUAAGAUCUAUUUCUUUACACGUUUAAGGUAGGGAGCUUUACUAGACGUGACGAUCAUAGGGGAGCGCGUCCAUAAUCUUUCAGGAAAGUGCCUCAGACAGGUAAGAGUACCCGCUGAA
This 299-nucleotide unclassified non-coding RNA is filed under the name Glomus sp. RNAcentral describes it as "partial internal transcribed spacer 2". Lineage: Eukaryota; Fungi; Glomeromycota; Glomeromycetes; Glomerales; Glomeraceae. The record is from RNAcentral.